GAUGAACGCUGGCGGCGUGCUUAACACAUGCAAGUCGAACGAUGAAGCCCAGCUUGCUGGGUGGAUUAAUGGCGAACGGGUGAGUAACACGUGAGUAACCUGCCCUUAACUCUGGGAUAAGCCUGGGAAACUGGGUCUAAUACCGGAUAGGAGCGUCCACCGCAUGGUGGGUGUUGGAAAGAUUUAUCGGUUUUGGAUGGACUCGCGGCCUAUCAGCUUGUUGGUGAGGUAAUGGCUCACCAAGGCGACGACGGGUAGCCGGCCUGAGAGGGUGACCGGCCACACUGGGACUGAGACACGGCCCAGACUCCUACGGGAGGCAGCAGUGGGGAAUAUUGCACAAUGGGCGCAAGCCUGAUGCAGCGACGCCGCGUGAGGGAUGACGGCCUUCGGGUUGUAAACCUCUUUCAGUAGGGAAGAAGCGAAAGUGACGGUACCUGCAGAAGAAGCACCGGCUAACUACGUG
Molecule: ribosomal RNA, 466 nt
Filed under: uncultured bacterium
Lineage: Bacteria
Description: partial 16S ribosomal RNA
Rfam family: Bacterial small subunit ribosomal RNA
Source: RNAcentral